UCAAAUAUUAAUCAUGAAUGAUCUGAUCAUUAACCCAUAAUUCAACGGAUCCAAACAAAUGCACUGCACAACAGAGUUACAUCGAAUAGAUCAAAGCGAAGAUGCAAUGAUCAUUCUAUUGGAGAUCAAGAGAUAGAUAUGUAGGUACUAACUACGGACCCGUAGGUCCGGUGAACUACUCACACAUCACCAUGGGAGCAACAAUGUAGAUCUAGAGGUCCUCUAUGAUCGAUUCCCCCUCCGACAGGGCACCAAAGAAGGGAUCCAGAUGGCCUCAGGGAGGAACAGAGACUUGCGGAGGCGGAGAAAGUGUUUUGGGGUGCUCCUUAUGGUUUUUGGGAUUAAUGAUAAUUUAUAGGACGAAGAGGUAUGCCAAGUGGCAGCCGAGGGGCGCACGAGGCAAAAGGGCGCGCCGACCACCCUGGACGCGCCCUAUUUUGUGGUGCUCCCCUUUUGUAGCUUCUGGCCUCCUCCCAAAGCUUCCAGGUCUUCUUUUGUUCUAGAAAAAAAUCACCAAAUAGUUUCAUGGCAAUUGGACUUCGUUUGGUAUUGUAAACCUGAAAAGCAAAAAAACACGCAGAAAACAUGAACUCGCACUAGGCACUCGGUCAAUAGAUUAGUGCCCAAAAAUAAUAUAAAGUGAUAGAUAAAUCCCAUAAGGUAUACUAGAAUGAUAAUAUAAUAGCAUAGAACAAUCAAACAUUAUAGAUAUGUUGGAGAUGUAUCAGCAUCCCCAAGCUUAAUUCCUACUCAUCCUCGAGUAGAUAAAUGAUAAAAACAGAAUUUUUGAUGUGACAUGCUAUCUAACAUGUAAUGUAUUGCAGGUUUGUUCGUUGAGAAAUGAUGAAUUAACAAAUAUCAACAUAGCAAUGCUUAUAAACACAAGCAACAUAGUCGUCAAGUUUAAAAUCAUAAGAUCCUUAAAGAAUGUUCAUCCACUAUUCAUCUUCUCAUAUAAAUAUAGCAUGGUUGUGUCCUCACCACAUAAAUACAAAUGUUAAACAUCACAGUGUCAAGUUAGGCAAUUGGAUCGUACUUUUUAACAUGCUUCAGCUUUUUAUGACUUGCGCAAUAUAUGAGCGUGAAUCAUGGAUAUUGUUGGGGAACGUUGCAUGGGAAACAAAAAAAUCCUAACUCACCAAGAUCAAUCUAGGAGAUGCACAUCUACAAGAGGAGAGAUUGUAUCUACAUACCCUUGUAGAUCGCUAAGCGAAAGCGUUAAAGAAUGCAGUUGAUGUAGUGGUACAUCUUUGCGAUCCAAUCAUGAUCCGUCCCACGAACUACCGAUCGAGCGUCUAACGGACGACACCUCCGCGUUCAUCACACGUACAGAUUGAUGACGUCUCCGCCUCCUAGAUCCAGUGAGCUAGGGCUGAGUAGUAGAUGAGUUCUCUGGCAAUAUGUGGCAUGGCGGCGGUGGUGGUUGUGCUAUCCUGGUAGGGCUACACCUAGUGCUACCGAAACCGCGAACGGAGGAGAAAACGAUCUAGAGAGAGAGGGGCGCCAAGGGCUUCGUGUGUGCUCUUGACGGGGCCCUCCCCUCUAUAUAUAGGUGAAGGGAGUGGGGAACAACCCCUCCAAGCCCUAGGGCGAGCCAUGGGAGGAGGAGGUGGAAUCCUAGCCCCCCUCCUUCCCUUCCAUACAAAGGUGGACUUUCCACCUUUCCCAACUGCAUGGGCCUUGAGGGACUUGUGCACUUGCCCCAAUAAGGCCACAAUGUCUCCCCUCAGCCUAUCCAAACCCUUGGGACGUGGUAGAACCCUUGGUGGACAUACGUACUCCUACCGAAGUUCCUGGAACCUUCUAGAAACUUCCCGGUAUCAUACUGGAAAAACCCAAAACUUUUCCGGUAGCCAAAAUAUGACUUCCUAUAUAUAAAUCUUUACCUCCGAACCAUUCUGGAGCUCCUUGUUACAUCCGGGAUUUCAUCCGGGACUCCGAACAACAUUCGAUUACCAUCACACAUAACUCACUAAUACCAAAUCGUCACCGAACCUUAAGUGUGCAGACCCUUUGGGUUCGAGAACUAUGAAGACAUGACCGAGACACUAUUCUGUCAAUAACCAAUAGCGGGACCUGGAUGUCCAUAUUGGCUCCUACAUAUUCUACGAAGAUCUUUAUCGGUCGAACCAUGUUGUCAAGGAUUCAAUCAAUCCCGUAUAAAAUUAUGUUUGUCUAUUGGUAUGUUACUUUCUCGAGAUUCGAUCGUCGAUAUCUCCAUACCUAGUUCAAUCUCAUUAUCCACAAGUCUCUUUACUCGUUCUGUAAUACAAGAUCCCAUGACUAACUCUUUAGUCACAUUUCUUGCAAGCUUGUUGUGAUGUUUUAUUACCGAGUGGGCCUUGAGAUACCUCUCUGUCACACAAAGUGACAAACCCAGUCUUGAUCCAUGCCAACUCAAGACACGCCCUCGGAUAUACAUCUAGAGCACAUUUAUAGUCACCUAGUGUCGGGACCCCGAUCCUAAGCCAUAGGAAUCCAGCCUGUAACACAUCGCAUCCCUUUGCGGUCUCACGCACGGUUAACUCCACGCCUGCAGCCUUACCUUAGCCGGGACCGUUUGCGUCUUUUGACUCACGUAUGCAAUAGUGUUGCUAGCAUUCCAAUGUCAAAGAACCCGGAUCGACAAGUCUAGUCAUAAACCAAAGUGGCAGUACCGCACAAGGACA
This 2669-nucleotide long non-coding RNA is filed under the name Hordeum vulgare. RNAcentral describes it as "long non-coding RNA (HVUL_LNC013015)". The record is from RNAcentral. Lineage: Eukaryota; Viridiplantae; Streptophyta; Magnoliopsida; Poales; Poaceae.